Molecule: ribosomal RNA, 252 nt
Filed under: uncultured Bacteroidales bacterium
Lineage: Bacteria; Pseudomonadati; Bacteroidota; Bacteroidia; Bacteroidales
Description: partial 16S ribosomal RNA
Rfam family: Bacterial small subunit ribosomal RNA
Source: RNAcentral
UACGGAGGAUGCGAGCGUUAUCCGGAUUUAUUGGGUUUAAAGGGUGCGUAGGCGGUCCGUUAAGUCAUCGGUAAAAUUGCGGGGCUCAACCCCGUCGAGCCGUUGAAACUGGCAGACUUGAGUUGGCGAGAAGUACGCGGAAUGCGCGGUGUAGCGGUGAAAUGCAUAGAUAUCGCGCAGAACCCCGAUUGCGAAGGCAGCAUGCCGGCUUCCGACUGACGCUGAAGCACGAAAGCGUGGGGAUCGAACAGG